RNAcentral lists this long non-coding RNA (874 nucleotides) under Daucus carota (carrot). RNAcentral's name for it is "long non-coding RNA (DCAR_LNC006454)". Lineage: Eukaryota; Viridiplantae; Streptophyta; Magnoliopsida; Apiales; Apiaceae. The record is from RNAcentral.
AGUAAACUGGUGGUGGAGGAGAGUGCAUUGGUGGUGGCGGGGACUUGUACUUGUAAACUGGUGUUGGUGGUGGUGGAGAGUGCAUUGGUGGUGGUGGAGACUUGUAUUUGUAGACCGGUGUUGGUGGUGGUGGGGAAUGCUCGGGUGGUGGUGGAGAUUUAUAAACUGGAGUUGGUGGUGGUGGAGACUUGUACUUGUAAUGGUGUACUGGUGCGGGAGAAUGCUUAGGUGGUGGUGGAGACUUGUACUUGUAGACGGGUGUUGGAGGUGGUGGAGAUUUAUACUUGUAGACCGGUGUUGGUGGUGGUGGAGACUUGUACUUAUAGUGAUGUUCUGGUGCGGGAGAAUGCUUAGGUGGUGGUGGAGACUUGUACUUAUAGUGAUGUUCUGGUGCAGGAGAAUGCUUAGGUGGUGGUGGAGAUUUGUACUUAUAAACCGGUGUUGGUGGUGGUGGAGACUUGUACUUAUAAUGAUGCACUGGUGCGGGGGAAUGCUUAGGUGGUGGUGGAGAUUUAUACUUGUAAACCGGUGUUGGUGGUGGUGGAGAAUGUUUUGGCGGAGGUGGAGACUCAAAAUGAUAAGGCGUUGGAGGAGAAUGCAUAGGAGGUGGUGGAGACUUGUACUUGUAAACCGGUGUAGGUGGUGGUGGAGAAUGUUUAGGCGGGGGCGGGGAUUUGUAGUGGUAAGGCGGAGGAGGAGAAUGCUCCGGGGGUGGAGGAGAAUGCUCGGGAGGUGGUGGAGAGGAGUAAGAGUAUUUAGCUGUGGUUUGUGAAGCCAAAUUGAGGGACACCAAUACUACAAGCAAAGACACAAUGAGAGACCUCAUUUUGGAGCCUCUAGCAAUCCUUCCCAUGUUUACUACAACCAAAAGGCU